RNAcentral lists this ribosomal RNA (424 nucleotides) under uncultured bacterium. Its description in RNAcentral is "partial 16S ribosomal RNA". It matches the Rfam family "Bacterial small subunit ribosomal RNA", at positions 360 to 776 of the family's 1533-position model. The record is from RNAcentral.
AAUAUUUUACAAUGGGCGAAAGCCUGAUCCAGCCAUCCCGCGUGUGUGAAGAAGGUCUUCGGAUUGUAAUGCACUUUAAGUUGGGAGGAAGGGUUGUAGGUUAAUACUCUGCAAUUUUGACGUUACCAACAGAAUAAGCACCGGCUAACUUCUUGCCAGCAGCCGCGGUCAUCCGAAGGGUGCAAACGUUAAGCGGAAUUACUGGGCGUAAAGCGCGCGUAGGUGGUUCGUUAAGUUGGAAGUGAAAGCCCCGGGCUUAACCUGGGAAUUGCUUUCAAAACUGACGAGCUAGAGUACGGUAGAGGGUAGUGGAAUUUCCUGUGUAGCGGUGAAAUGCGUAGAUAUAGGAAGGAACAUCAGUGGCGAAGGCGACUACCUGGACUGAUACUGACACUGAGGUGCGAAAGCGUGGGGAGCAAACAGG